AUGAACGCUGGCGGCGUGCCUAAUACCUGCAAGUCGAGCGCACGGACGAGAAGCUUGCUUCUCUGAUGUUAGCGGCGGACGGGUGAGUAACACGUGGAUAACCUACCUAUAAGACUGGGAUAACUUCGGGAAACCGGAGCUAAUACCGGAUAAUAUUUUGAACCGCAUGGUUCAAAAGUGAAAGACGGUCUUGCUGUCACUUAUAGAUGGAUCCGCGCUGCAUUAGCUAGUUGGUAAGGUAACGGCUUACCAAGGCAACGAUGCAUAGCCGACCUGAGAGGGUGAUCGGCCACACUGAAACUGAGACACGGUCCAGACUCCUACGGGAGGCAGCAGUAGGGAAUCUUCCGCAAUGGGCGAAAGCCUGACGGAGCAACGCCGCGUGAGUGAUGAAGGUCUUCGGAUCGUAAAACUCUGUUAUUAGGGAAGAACAUAUGUGUAAGUAACUGUGCACAUCUUGACGGUACCUAAUCAGAAAGCCACGGCUAACUACGUG
RNAcentral lists this ribosomal RNA (496 nucleotides) under uncultured bacterium. Its description in RNAcentral is "partial 16S ribosomal RNA". It matches the Rfam family "Bacterial small subunit ribosomal RNA", at positions 29 to 507 of the family's 1533-position model. The record is from RNAcentral.